RNAcentral lists this signal recognition particle RNA (299 nucleotides) under Aotus nancymaae (Ma's night monkey). Its description in RNAcentral is "Metazoan signal recognition particle RNA (ENSANAG00000008466.1)". It matches the Rfam family "Metazoan signal recognition particle RNA". Rfam says of the family: The signal recognition particle (SRP) is a universally conserved ribonucleoprotein. The record is from RNAcentral. Lineage: Eukaryota; Metazoa; Chordata; Mammalia; Primates; Aotidae.
GCCGGGUGUGAUGGCGCGUGCCUGUAGCCCCAGCCAAUCGGGAGGCUGAGGUGGGAGGAUCGCUUGAGCCCAGGAGUUCUGGGCUAUAGUGCGCUAUGCCGAUCGGGUGUCUGCACUAAGUUCGGCAUCAAUAUGGUGACCUCCCGGGAGUGGGUGACCACCAGAUUGCCUAAGGAGGGGUAAACCGGCCCAGGUCGGAAAUGGAGCAGGUCAGAGCUCCCGUGCUGAUCAGUAGUGGGAUCGUGCCUGUGAAUAGCCACUGCACUUCAGCCUGGGCGACGUAGCGAGACGCUGUCUCU